GUUUUUUCUUCACACACGUCGUCUGCGAUAAAAUUUUGUUGGUGACAGAAUUUAUGUAAAUUUUGAAUCGGAGAUACGGAGACCAGCUGCGUGGCAGCAAGAGCAAAUGUUUGUUGUGAUGAGGCGUAUACCACCAUCACCAACGCUGCAAUUGCAGUCACCACCACCAAUGAUGGUCCACCACUUCUGCCACCACCAUCAGUUCUGCGAAUGCCACCACCACCACCAAGUCUGCUUCUGCCAUCGCCAUUGCCACCGCCACUACCAAGAUCAUUCCUGACACAAAGCCUCCAAGUCCUCAACUGACCAGCUAUUGCAGCUGGAGAAGGAUAGACCCGCAACUUCAAAGUCAGGGCUUGCUGGUCUCCUACAAUAAGAAAAGUGCCUGGGGCCAAUCUGAUGAACGUGUACUUGUAGCACAAUAUUUGGCCACAGUUGUAGAAAUACAGAGACUAACAUGCAGCCACAGGUGAGGCUUUGUCCGCAUUUCCAGAAAGACACAAGAUAGUAUCAGAAAGCCAUGCCAAAUUCAAGGACUGAAGGGUUUGGAGAGCCAGACAAAGAGCCUAGAAAUGUGAUUUAACCCGUACUUCAAUCACAUGAACAGCAGCAGGAGCAAAAACAGCAUCAACCACACAGGAGAUGUAACGACAGCAUUGACCAACAGCAACAACAACAGCAGCGUAAACAAUUUCUGCAGGAGGUGCAAAAACCACACCGGCAACCUCAACAAUAUCAAGAUGUCCAACAACCACUCCGGGAACAGCAACCACAACUUCAGCAAGAGUUUCAACAAACACAUCAGCAAAAACCAACAGCAGCAGCAACAACAGCACUUAUGAAAUGAAUUUUAUUGAAACUCAAAAGCCAAUGAGGAAACAUCUUUUACAAAAUGAGACAUCAUUUGUUCAUUCUUUUACAGGAUAAAGAAAAGCUUUUUUGAAAGUGUAAAUUUGCAGGAACACAAUGUAUGUUCCCUAUGAAUCUAUUUAUAGAAAAAAUUGACUUUAAAAAGAAUGAAUGGUGAUUCAAUAAAUAUCUACUUUUUAUUUGUCAAUGAGUAAAAAUACAUGUAUUUUCUAUUUAGAAUGACAAAAAGCAAUUUAUCAAAUCAAAAUCACAAAAAAAUUGACCAAUAUGGCUCUUAGGCCCUCAAAAUUGUUGGUAUUUUGAUGAAAAAGCUGUUUCUGCGGCAAUAUUUGACACAGCUCAAAUAGCUGCGUCAAAUUUGCCACAGAAAUUGUCAUUUGACGCAGCUCCUUGAGCUGCGUCAAAUAUUGCCGCUGAAAUUGUCAUUUGCCGCAGAAAGUAUCUGCGGCAAAGUUUUAUGAAACGGAAACUUGACGCUGUUUUGAGAUUUGCCGCAGAAACACAGAUUUGCCGCAGAAAAUGGGAGUUGCCGCUGCGGCAAAUGUUUUAUGAAACGGGCCCCAGAUCUUACUUUUUCGUCUCCAAGUGCUUACAAAACAAUAAAAGUGACGAAGCAGAAACGCUGUUCUCUCAAUGGGGCUCCAAAAUGGGCGAAUUUUCCAAGAGAAGGGCAAAAUACGAAAAAGAGAAGUGACUCUGGCAGCCCCCUGAGGGGGUAGGCUCGAAGCCAGCACUUUGUUAUAUGUAUAGCAGAUAGAGGAAAUACGACCCUUUUGUUUCCAAGUGGUUUCAAAGUAAUAAAAGUGACUUUAUCACAUAGCAGAAACGAAUUAUGACUCAAUUGGGGCUCCAGAAUGGCAGAUUUUCCAAUAAAUAGGUAAAAUACCGAAAAAAGGGUGGGUGGUUUUGCUAGCCCCUUGCGGAAGUAGGCUUUGCUGUGCCAGCACUUCUUUAUAUGUAGCUGAUGGAGGAAAAUCUACUUUUUAUCUCCAAGUGGUUAAAAAACAAUAAAAGUGGUUUACUGCAAAGGAGAAACCCCUUUUGCCUCAAUGGGGCUCAAAAAUUGCGAAUUUUCCAAGAAAUGGGCAAAAUACGAAAAAGGCGUUGGGUGACUUCGGCAGCCCCCUGAGGGGGUAGGCUUUGCUGUGCCCUCACUUCUUUAUGUAUAGCUGAUAGAAAAAGCCUACUCUUCCGUCUCCAAGUGAUUUCCAGAAUAUAAAAGUUGUUUUUCUUCACCAUUUUGGUACAUUGGGGGCUCCAAAAAGCAAGAUAUUUCAAUAAUCAAGCUACGGAUAAGGGUGGUGAAUCUUCAACAGGCUCUUGUGAGACUAUGCUUUAAUGUGUCCGAACGUAAUUGCAUGCAACAUCCAGACUGAUGACUCCUCUAACUUUUCCAAGAGGUUUCAUCAACAUAAAAGUUGCUUUAAUAUGUAGAAAACGCCUUUUGCCCUCACACCAAUACAUGUAAUACACCUUUCUAUCGCUAGGCACAUUAUAUGGACUUCUGCGUCAACAAAGGCGAGGCAAGACCGAUUUAGGCUAUUGUACUCUCUUGAAAUGCAUGCCAGCGAUCGCAUUGUAGUCGAUAUCGAUAGCGUGACUAAGAUACGGAGGUUGCUUUUUGGUGUCAUUUUAUCGUAAUAUCGAAUAUUACAUUUCGAGGUAUUUUCCCUUUAUCUAAGCAAAUUAAAUAAACAUAAAUUCUGUCAUGAAGCAUAUCAGUAUUCUCGUUAAUAUAAUCUUCUUUCGUGUCGAAUGCUGAUAUUUUGCAUUUGUUGUUGUUAAUGCAAAUUUUGGCAUAAAUUAUCAUAAUUUUCAAAAAAAUAUUAACCGGACUGUCCAGAAAACGAUUGCAAUCGAUUUCUACUAUCUAAAUCUUAGUGUAAAGCGUAUUCAUUUCACAUUUUCCGUUUGUAUGUGCAAAGAAAUAUGAAAAUAAUUGAUUUUCAUGAAAAAUCAAAGAUGGCAGACAAAAUUGCCAAUUUUGAACCCCGUGGGACACAAUUUUGCAAAGGGAACAUCAAAAUUCAUUAACUUGACACUUCAGUCAAUACAAAAAUGUUGGUUAAAAAAAACACAUUAUCAUGAUGGUGCACGGGAAUCCCCAUUUCUGUCUAGACUAUAACAUUUAUAAAAGUUUAGGAUUUGAUUUCUUGCACGGCACCCGUGCCCUAGAACAUGCAAACAAAAUGAAUACCAAUGUAAUAAACCAAUUCGUGCGUAUGUUUGAUGAAAAGAAUCAACUCCAUUGUAUUUCGCAAGCUGUGCUGUUAACCAAAUCCCCAACUUUGUCAAGCAUUAUUGAAUUAUUAAAGGCACCCUACUGCCUACAAAUCCUAGUUGAGCUCAUUGUCUCAAUGUUAAUCGUGUUUGACAGCAAUACAACUUUUAUCAAUAAAUAUCAAUUGUAAUGAUAAAAUUAAUUAAUUGAACAGUUUUCAGAAACAUGAAUUUUCAUCUUAUCUAAAUCAUAUCAUCAAAAUGUUCAUAAAUCUUUCAGGAAGCUUUUCCUGUCAAUGAUUUCAUGUACAUACAUUACAGCUCUGUUCUGGACUACUAAUUUGAGCAUCCAAUAAAUAUUUGGUAGAUUUAUGCAUGGAGCUAUUAUAGCUCUAUGAUAUAUUAUUCAUUUGCUUAGGGCCUUUUCUAGACAACUGGUCCUGUGUAGAAUACUGAUUGCUUUGAAUUUCUUUGUGUGAAUUUCAUUGCCUAACACCUGGGAAAUGAUAUCCUCUUCGACUAAUAGAAUUUUAAUGAUACUUCAUACUAUUUGUAUAAUUUACGAAUUAUAUCCUGUACAGAGUGUCUUCAUUGUAAUAUACAUGUAUGUCUACGCUUGAGUAAGCAGGAGUAAUCAUUUACUUUUAAUCAAUUUGUGCCAAAUUAAGGCACAAAUUUAGUAAUGAAUCCAGAUUUUAUUAAGAUCAUAGUCAUACAAGAGUUUAAGUUAAAGUCAUUGCAUUUGUUUCUUAAUGUACAUAGGGAUUGUUUUCGAAACACAUUUGUAGUAUAUCAAUUCUCAUGUUGAAAUUGUUGGUCAAUGAUACUUGAAUUAUUUCAUUAUAUGUUAAUGCUGACUUCUUAUUUUUCAUUUUUGCUUGAAGGGGUGUCUGUAAAAAAAGUAGCUUGUCACCGUGUUCAAUGACAAAUUGAGAUGCAUCAAUUGAUUUCCAGAUUUGUAAAGAUACAUUCAAUCUACCUUUAAUAAAAGGUUCUGAACUUCCUUGUUCAUACUCAAAAUUUCUCAGAUAAAAAUCUUCCUUAUACCCUGCCGCGGUAGCCAAAUUAUUUUUCCCACAGUAGUUCCUGACCCCAAUAUGCAUAUUCAUGACUUUCGUCUUCGGAAUAAGAGUACGCAUGCGCGUGGACAAAAUUGUGGUCGUUCUCGUUGUUGUCAUACCAUGAAUUGCCGGUACCCUUCUAGCGGGCCUUGGGGGCCUUGUCGACCUUAGCCCAGCUAGGCUUAGACUUAUAACUAGAUUCCAUUCUUAAACACUUAUCAGAUUGCCAUUAUAAUUAGAAUAACAAGACAAAGUGAUAGGCUAGCCUAGGCUAUGGCUUGCCUAGGCUAGGGCAUUAAAUUUUAUCUCAAAUCUGGACCUGUCUAAUGCAUGCAGCCGAAUAAUGCCAUGGUUAACCUAGAACUGGUUAAAGGUAAAAGACAGUAGAUCUAGUUGCAGCAAACAAUUAGACUUUCUUUUUCAUUACAAUGUCGUUUAAGGUUAAUUGUCCAUGGGCAUGCGUACUCUUAUUCCGAAGACGAAAGCCAUGAAUAUUAAUUGGGGAAAAUAAUUUCGCUGACAGCGAAGGAGUAUUCAAUAUAUUCCAGUUUAACUGAUCCGUGUCAUCUCUCUGUCGCAGUUCAUUUAUAGACUAAGCAUGCUAAGUAUGAUCAAUAUGGAAUUUUACUUGAAUUAUAAAUUCCUUUAAUAU
This is a long non-coding RNA of Lytechinus pictus (painted urchin), 4803 nucleotides long. RefSeq lists it as uncharacterized. The record is from RefSeq and is a predicted model, not a curated record. NCBI's taxonomy places the organism in Eukaryota, Metazoa, Echinodermata, Echinoidea, Temnopleuroida, Toxopneustidae. The transcript is spliced from 4 exons.